Molecule: long non-coding RNA, 452 nt
Organism: Gadus morhua (Atlantic cod)
Lineage: Eukaryota; Metazoa; Chordata; Actinopteri; Gadiformes; Gadidae
Exons: 3
Source: RefSeq, a predicted model, not a curated record
GUGUGUGUGCGUGUGUGUGCGCGUGUGUGUGUGUGUGUGUGUAGGUGACUGACCACCGAGGGAGCGCAGCCGGCUGUGUGAGGGAUCAGAAGGUGGACGAGGCUGCGGGUGUCCUGCUCAGUGUUACGCUGGUCCUCUACGGAACCCAACCACCAAAUGGGGCCCCUCUAGGGACCGUAGUAUCCCUGGGGACCCACCACCUGGUUCCCCAGGCUGAGCUGCAUGCCAGGGGCCCCUCUGCGGUUCUUGAUGUCAUCCAAUGGGCCUACCAGCUGGAGACAGAGAGGAGGGUGUGCUUUGAGGACAUCCCUGACCCACCUAGACCUGAGAUACACGGGCGUAUCUAAAUGUGCGUCUAUGUGUACGUGUGUUUGUUUGUGUGUGUGUGUGUGUGUGUUUCUGUGUGCAUGUGUUUGUGUGUGUUUGUGCAUAUGUGUGUACCUGUGUUUGUG